AUGCUCAACCAUGGCUUAAGAUGGCCACGACCGCCACGUAGAUGUUAACUCUGCCAUAGACAUUGAGUCUGAUUCACCCAACUUUGCAUUAGAAGUAUACAAACCAUAUCGGUUUUGAUUAUGGCGAGCAUUUAGCAAAUAGGUCCGUUCACGCAGUUUUCUUUGUUUCUCGAUUGUACUGUGUUAUCGGGGGCAUUCCUCCUACACGUUGUUGAAGCGAAGCAGUCAAGUCAAGAAAACGUGCGUGUCAAAAUGUCAACCCAGGAUUAUCCCAUCACAUUUGUGUAAAGUUAUGUUUCACCUGCUUUCGAUAUUCAAGUUCUUUAUGCUGAUAAAGUGAUAGAACAAUAGUUUUUCCUGUCUUUUUAUAGGGACAACAGCUCAAAUUAAAGUCAAUGUAGCCUAUCGCCUGGAAAUAGGAAUAGCAUGAAUUGCAAUCUCCAGUCGACACAUAAGUCAAUAUGUGUUAAAGUUCCACAUCUUUCAACAAAAUCAUCUGUAGCCAAUCCGAGAACAUGAGCAACAAAUUUGUUGAAGUCCCUAUCAAGGAGUUGUACCAAAUCAAAAUCUCACGAAAGAGAUGAAAGAUAAAGGAUUGUAAAGGAUAUGCAUCUUUACACCAUAGGUUUAAAGCAGGAGAUUCAGAAAGAAAUGGUGGCGAAUUUUGUAUAUACGGCCGACGAUGGAGUUGACGCUAGCUGUUUGCAACUCGCCUUUUGCGACGUUUUGGUGGCAGGAGAAGCGGAUUAAGAGCUGGAUCCUGGCGAAUCGUCAUUGAUACUCUAAGCUCUAAGAGAUGUCCCUGAGGGAUCUCAGUAUGUUCAAUAUAAUCCCUAGCAAUAUCCGCAGCAACGUCAACCUGCAAAAGGAAAGGACAGAACACUCGAAGGUCACGGAGAAAAACGUGUCAUGCAGCAGUGUAGAGGUUUGUGUAGUUAACUACGGCGUCGCUGUUGGGUGUUGUAUCGUUUAAGGCUGGAUCGACCUCUGGUGUACUGAUGUUUCCUGGGUAUGUCGGAUGCCAAACCACAACGCCGCCGCCUUACUACGCAACAACCGGUUCCUACACCACCAAGGCUCAAGAGUGUUACACCACAAUUCAUGAUGCCCCGAGCUGCAACACCGAAUCCCGAAGUAUAACUCUGCGUGUCGAUGUCUACGCUUUGAGUCACUACGCCCUGAAGUAUUACUCUGCCCCGAGUUACUACACCACCAAGGGGACGGAGACACUUGACUACGCAUGCUGCCCCAUCUUACCACAUCCGAGGCUUCUAACUGCUACACCGAGGCUCCCGCUGAUUACUCCACCAAAACGGUUGAAUACUACACGGUACUUAGCCGCGACUACACCGAAACGGCUAAGUAUUACUCUGCCCCGAUCUACACAACCACAACUGAGGCGGCCAAUUAUUACGCAGUCCCGACUUGCUACACAGAAGCUGCUCUUUCGUGCUACGUUAAACA
RNAcentral lists this long non-coding RNA (1464 nucleotides) under Daphnia pulicaria. RNAcentral's name for it is "uncharacterized LOC124337624, transcript variant X3". The record is from RNAcentral. Lineage: Eukaryota; Metazoa; Arthropoda; Branchiopoda; Diplostraca; Daphniidae.